Molecule: ribosomal RNA, 506 nt
Filed under: uncultured bacterium
Lineage: Bacteria
Description: partial 16S ribosomal RNA
Rfam family: Bacterial small subunit ribosomal RNA
Source: RNAcentral
AUUGAACGCUGGCGGCAGGCCUAACACAUGCAAGUCGGACGGUAACAGGAAGCAGCUUGCAGCUUCGCUGACGAGUGGCAGACGGGUGAGUAAAGUCUGGGAAACUGCCUGCUGGAGGGGGAUAACUACUGGAAAGGGUAGCUAAUACCGCAUAACGUCGCAAGACCAAAGCGGGGGACCUUCGGGCCUCUUGCCAUCAGAUGUUCCCAGAUGGGGUUAGCUAGUAGGUGGGGUAAAGGCUCACCUAGGCGACGAUCCCUAGCUGGUAUGAGGGGAUGCCCAGCCAAGCUGGAACUGAGACACGGUCCAUACUCCUACGGGAGGCAGCAGUGGGGAAUAUUGCACAUUGGGCGCAAGCCUGAUGCAGCCAUGCCGCGUGUAUGAAGAAGGCCUUCGGGUUGUAAAGUACUUUCAGCGGGGAGGAAGGCAAUGCGGUUAAUAACCGUGUUGAUUGACGUUACCCGCAGAAGAAGCACCGGCUAACUCCGUGCCAGCAGCCGCCGCGG